CUGUCUAUAGCAACACAUAGGCUAAAACUGAAAUGAUACACAGAAUUGGCACGACCCCUGUGCAAAGAUGACAGGCACACCUGUGAAGUGAUCGAAUGUAAG
Molecule: small nuclear RNA, 102 nt
Organism: Artibeus jamaicensis (Jamaican fruit-eating bat)
Lineage: Eukaryota; Metazoa; Chordata; Mammalia; Chiroptera; Phyllostomidae
Source: RefSeq, a predicted model, not a curated record